RNAcentral lists this ribosomal RNA (584 nucleotides) under uncultured bacterium. Its description in RNAcentral is "bacterial SSU rRNA". It matches the Rfam family "Bacterial small subunit ribosomal RNA", at positions 338 to 916 of the family's 1533-position model. The record is from RNAcentral.
CCUACGGGAGGCAGCAGUGGGGAAUUUUGGACAAUGGGCGAAAGCCUGAUCCAGCAAUGCCGCGUGAGUGAAGAAGGCCUUCGGGUUGUAAAGCUCUUUUGUCAGGGAAGAAACGGUGAGGGCUAAUAUCCCUUGCUAAUGACGGUACCUGAAGAAUAAGCACCGGCUAACUACGUGCCAGCAGCCGCGGUAAUACGUAGGGUGCAAGCGUUAAUCGGAAUUACUGGGCGUAAAGCGUGCGCAGGCGGUUUUGUAAGUCUGUCGUGAAAUCCCCGGGCUCAACCUGGGAAUUGCGAUGGAGACUGCAAGGCUAGAAUCUGGCAGAGGGGGGUAGAAUUCCACGUGUAGCAGUGAAAUGCGUAGAGAUGUGGAGGAACACCGAUGGCGAAGGCAGCCCCCUGGGUCAAGAUUGACGCUCAUGCACGAAAGCGUGGGGAGCAAACAGGAUUAGAUACCCUGGUAGUCCACGCCCUAAACGAUGUCUACUAGUUGUCGGGUUUUAAUUAACUUGGUAACGCAGCUAACGCGUGAAGUAGACCGCCUGGGGAGUACGGUCGCAAGAUUAAAACUUAAUGAAUUGACGG